This 2380-nucleotide ribosomal RNA is filed under the name Erysipelotrichaceae bacterium. Its description in RNAcentral is "partial 23S ribosomal RNA". It matches the Rfam family "Bacterial large subunit ribosomal RNA", at positions 462 to 2925 of the family's 2925-position model. The record is from RNAcentral. Lineage: Bacteria; Bacillati; Bacillota; Erysipelotrichia; Erysipelotrichales; Erysipelotrichaceae.
AAGGCUAAAUACUAACUAGUGACCGAUAGUGAACCAGUACCGUGAGGGAAAGGUGAAAAGAACCCCGGGAGGGGAGUGAAAAGAAUCUGAAACUGUAUGCUUACAAUAAGUCAGAGCCCGUUAAAGGGUGAUGACGUGCCUAUUGAAGAAUGAACCGGCGAGUUAUGUUUGCGUGCGAGGUUAAGUCGUAGAGACGGAGCCGUAGUGAAAGCGAGCCUGAAUAGGGCGAUUUAGUACGUAGACAUAGACCCGAAGCCCGACGAUCUAUCCAUGAGCAGGUUGAAGGUGAGGUAAAACUUACUGGAGGACCGAACCGACGUUCGUUGAAACGCCCGCGGAUGACUUGUGGAUAGGGGAGAAAUUCCAAUCGAGUCGGGGGAUAGCUGGUUCUCCCCGAAAUAGCUCUAGGGCUAGCGUAAGGUUUUAACUGGUGGAGGUAGAGCACUGAAUGUAUGAUGGCCGCAUUAGCGGUACUGAUUGCAAUCAAACUCCGAAUGCCAUCAGCGGUAUCCUUGCAGUCAGAGUGUGGGGGAUAAGCUCCAUGCUCAAAAGGGAAACAGCCCAGACCGUCAAUUAAGGUCCCUAAAUUUAUGCUAAGUGUUAAACGAUGUAGAGAUGCAUAAACAACUAGGAUGUUGGCUCAGAAGCAGCCACCAUUUAAAGAGUGCGUAACAGCUCACUAGUCGAGUGCCUCCGCGCGGAAGAUUUACCGGGGCUAAGCAUAAUACCGAAGUUACGGAUUUUAGUUCUACUAAAGUGGUAGGGGAGCGUUCCAUACGGGGCGAAGCAAGAUCGAAAGGACUUGUGGACUGUAUGGAAGUGAGUAUGCCGGUGUAAGUAACGAUGAUAUGUGAGAAUCAUAUCCACCAAUUGACUAAGGUUUCCUGGGGAAGGGUCGUCCUCCCAGGGUUAGUCGGGUCCUAAGGCGAGGCCGAAAGGCGUAGUCGAUGGAUAACAGGUUGAUAUUCCUGUACCCGUAUAUAUGUGAUGUAAUGACAGAGAUGGUUAACCGUACCAAUUAUUGGAUUUUGGACCAAGCGAGGUAGCUUGUGUGUAGGCAAAUCCGCACACUUUAAGGCAAAUACGUGAUGGGGAGCGAAUGGAUUCGUCCUAGUAGCGAAGUCGGUGAUACCAGCUUUCAAGAAAAGUUGCUAACUAUAGUAUAUACGGCCCGUACCGAGAACGGACACACGUGGUCAAGAUGAGUAAUCUGAGGUGAGCGAGAUAACUGUUGUUAAGGAACUCUGCAAAAUUACUUCGUAAGUUCGCAAGAAGAAGUGCUCUCGCAAGAGAGUCGCAGUGAAGAGGCCCAAGUAACUGUUUACCAAAAACACAGCUCUAUGCCAAGCCGCAAGGCGAUGUAUAUGGGGUGAUGCCUGCCCAGUGCUGGAAGGUUAAAAGGAGGAGUGCAAGCUCUGAAUUGAAGCCCCAGUGAACGGCGGCCGUAACUAUAACGGUCCUAAGGUAGCGAAAUUCCUUGUCAGGUAAGUUCUGACGCGCAUGAAUGGUAUAAUAAUUUGGGCGCUGUCUCGACAGCAGACUCGGUGAAAUCUUAUUACCUGUGAAGAUGCAGGUUACCCGCGACUAGACGGAAAGACCCCAUGGAGCUUUACUAUAACUUAAUAUUGAAUAAUUGAGAUUCAUGCACAGGAUAGGUAGGAGACUUUGAGACCGGGGCUUUGGCUUCGGAGGAGUCGACGUUGGGAUACUACUCUUGAAUUUCGAUUACUCUAACUCACUCCCUUACCGGCGAGGAGGACAGUGUUAGGCGGGUAGUUUGACUGGGGCGGUCGCCUCCCAAAAUGUAACGGAGGCGCCCAAAGGUACCCUCAAUAUGGUUGGAAAUCAUAUUUCGAGUGCAAUGGCAUAAGGGUGCUUGACUGCGAGACAAACAAGUCGAGCAGGGACGAAAGUCGGGCAUAGUGAUCUGGCGGUUUCAUUGUGGAAUGGCCGUCACUCAACGGAUAAAAGCUACCCUGGGGAUAACAGGCUGAUCUGGUCCAAGAGUUCACAUCGACGACCAGGUUUGGCACCUGUUCGCCAAUUAAAGUGGUACGCGAGCUGGGUUCAAAACGUCGUGAGACAGUUUGGUCCCUAUCUGUCGUGGGCGUAGGAAGUUUGAAAGGAGCUGUCCCUAGUACGAGAGGACCGGGAUGGACAUAGCAAUGGUAUAUCGGUUGUCACGCCAGUGGCAUGGCCGGGUAGCUACCUAUGGAAUGGAUAAACGCUGAAAGCAUCUAAGCGUGAAGCCAACCUUAAGAUGAGACUUCCCAUUCGCAAGAAGUAAGACCCCUUCAAAGUUAGAAGGUUGAUAGGUUAGAAGUGUAAGUGUUGUGAGGCAUUUAGCUGACUAAUACUAAUAGGUCGAGGACUUAAUUUC